RNAcentral lists this ribosomal RNA (486 nucleotides) under uncultured bacterium. RNAcentral describes it as "partial 16S ribosomal RNA". It matches the Rfam family "Bacterial small subunit ribosomal RNA", at positions 30 to 507 of the family's 1533-position model. The record is from RNAcentral.
AUUGAACGCUGGCGGCAUGCCUUACACAUGCAAGUCGAACGGCAGCGCGGACUUCGGUCUGGCGGCGAGUGGCGAACGGGUGAGUAAUACAUCGGAACGUACCCUGUUGUGGGGGAUAACUAGGCGAAAGAUUAGCUAAUACCGCAUACGACCUGAGGGUGAAAGUGGGGGACCGGAAACGGCCUCAUGCAGCAGGAGCGGCCGAUGUCUGAUUAGCUAGUUGGUGGGGUAAAGGCCCACCAAGGCGACGAUCAGUAGCUGGUCUGAGAGGACGAUCAGCCACACUGGGACUGAGACACGGCCCAGACUCCUACGGGAGGCAGCAGUGGGGAAUUUUGGACAAUGGGGGCAACCCUGAUCCAGCAAUGCCGCGUGUGUGAAGAAGGCCUUCGGGUUGUAAAGCACUUUUGUCCGGAAAGAAAUCGCGCUGGUUAAUACCUGGCGUGGAUGACGGUACCGGAAGAAUAAGCACCGGCUAACUACGUG